AUAAAUAUAGUUUAAUAAAAACAUUAUAUUUUCAUUAUAAAAAUAAUACGCCACUAUUUAUUUAUU
Molecule: transfer RNA, 66 nt
Filed under: Pheidole fervens
Lineage: Eukaryota; Metazoa; Arthropoda; Insecta; Hymenoptera; Formicidae
Description: tRNA-Glu
Source: RNAcentral